This 842-nucleotide long non-coding RNA is filed under the name Homo sapiens (human). RNAcentral's name for it is "HSALNT0008059". The record is from RNAcentral. Lineage: Eukaryota; Metazoa; Chordata; Mammalia; Primates; Hominidae.
GGCAGUUUGAAAGGCCUCCAAAAAAGCAUGACAUUCAAUCAAAGUUCAGCAAGGAAAGUUUUAAUGAAUAAACUUAGUAAAUUAGAAAGCACUGCGGCAGAGUGAUUAACUCUCAUUUGGGCAUUAGUGUUGAAAUUAAUUAAAAUGUUUAAGCCAUAGGAGGCAGGCUACCUCGUCAGGACCUGGCUCUGCCCUCGGAGUCAGUCUGGAUCCAGGAGUGAUUCAUCUUACACAGAUGAGAGGGGGAUAAAAGGAAAAGAACAGUCAGGACAAAUGUGUUUUCAAUGGUGCUUAGCAGCAGGAGACCACUGGGACUUCAGAGCAACGCUACUGGAGUGUGACAUCAUAAUACGGAAAAACAGGUUGCAUCCUUGCAUUAAAGGAGAAUGGGAACCAGGCUAGAGCCAAAGAUCUUCCAGCCUUUCUCUGGAAUGGACCGAAUAUGGAAUAACAUGGACAUGUCUGAUGCACAUCUGGAGAUGGGACGGCAGCGCAUAAUACUUCCUGGAACUGCGAGACAAUGGGGUUGUCUUUUGACAUUGAGGCAGGUUAUUAAAUAGAAGUGUGAACUAUUAAGAGAUGAUCUUGACCCUCAAUACAUUUUUAUCAAAGUCAAAAAAUAUUUGACACCACUGAACAGCUUAUCACAGGCACAAAAGGGGAAAUGCUUUAUUAUGGAAAUGUGUACUAUGUUCUUCAAAACAGAAGAAUAAAAAUAUAUGCAUUUUUAAAUGAAUAACAGCUUGUAAGACUCCCAAUGAUUAACAGCAGUUGUACAUUAAGUAUUCUCUGAAAUGAUAUUUGUAAACUGGAGGGUUGACCAAUCUUAGUGCGAACUUCCU